This 660-nucleotide ribosomal RNA is filed under the name Roseovarius sp. RNAcentral describes it as "bacterial SSU rRNA". It matches the Rfam family "Bacterial small subunit ribosomal RNA", at positions 44 to 754 of the family's 1533-position model. Lineage: Bacteria; Pseudomonadati; Pseudomonadota; Alphaproteobacteria; Rhodobacterales; Roseobacteraceae. The record is from RNAcentral.
AGGCGCUACCAUGCAGUCGAGCGAACCUUCGGGUUAGCGGCGGACGGGUGAGUAACGCGUGGGAACGUACCCUCUUCUGCGGGAUAGCCACUGGAAACGGUGAGUAAUACCGCAUACGCCCUUCGGGGGAAAGAUUUAUCGGAGGAGGAUCGGCCCGCGUUGGAUUAGGUAGUUGGUGGGGUAAUGGCCUACCAAGCCUACGAUCCAUAGCUGGUUUUAGAGGAUGAUCAGCCACACUGGGACUGAGACACGGCCCAGACUCCUACGGGAGGCAGCAGUGGGGAAUCUUAGACAAUGGGCGCAAGCCUGAUCUAGCCAUGCCGCGUGAGUGACGAAGGCCUUAGGGUCGUAAAGCUCUUUCGCCAGAGAUGAUAAUGACAGUAUCUGGUAAAGAAACCCCGGCUAACUCCGUGCCAGCAGCCGCGGUAAUACGGAGGGGGUUAGCGUUGUUCGGAAUUACUGGGCGUAAAGCGCACGUAGGCGGAUUGGAAAGUUGGGGGUGAAAUCCCAGGGCUCAACCCUGGAACUGCCUCCAAAACUCCCAGUCUGGAGUUCGAGAGAGGUGAGUGGAAUUCCGAGUGUAGAGGUGAAAUUCGUAGAUAUUCGGAGGAACACCAGUGGCGAAGGCGGCUCACUGGCUCGAUACUGACGCUGAGGUGC